CUGGAGCUCGGUUCUCAGUGGACGGCUGGGUAGACACAUUACUGAAGCCGCGCAGAGUAACAACAGCUUGACAAGAAGGUGACAAGAUCAGUUCCUAGGCCACAUGUGCACCGGGGACAAGGAUCUGGCAGGAGUGUUCGUGUAAUGGGAACCAAGAGAAUGUUCAACCCCACCACAUUUGGCUCUGCUGGGAGUAGUUUUAGCGGGUUUGGCCUGUCCACCACUACUCCUGCCACGGCCAACCCUAUGAAGGAUUUUGAAGUUGUGAAUCCUCCUGAUGACUCUGUUCAGUGCAUGGCGUUCUCUCCUCCUUCCAUUCCACAAGAUUUUUUGGUCGCUGGAAGUUGGGACAAUAAUGUGCGAUGUUGGGAGGUGCAGAGAGAUGGGAAGACAAUAGGAAAGGCCCAGCAGACCAUGGGAGGACCAAUCAUGGAUGUGGCGUGGCAUGAUGACGGCAGCAAGGUGUUUAUGGCAAGCGCAGACAAAACCGUUCACUGCUGGGACUUGGGGAGCAACCAGAAGAUGCAGGUGGCUCAGCACGACGCCCCAGUGAAGACAGUGCACUGGAUCAAGGCACCAACGUACUCCUGCAUCAUGACGGGCUCGUGGGAUAAGACUUUAAAGUUUUGGGACACACGGAGCGCCCAGCCCAUCAUGACCAUCAACCUCCCGGAGCGAUGUUACUGUGCUGACGUGGAGUAUCCCAUGGCCGUGGUGGGCACUGCUAACCGCCACCUCAUUGUGUACCAGCUUGAAGGCCAACCACAGGAAUUCAAACAGAUAGAAUCACCAUUAAAAUAUCAGCACAGAUGCGUCGCGAUCUUCAAGGACAAGAAGGGUGCCGGUGCUCCUGCUGGGUUUGCUCUGGGCAGCGUGGAGGGCCGGGUAGCCAUCCAGUACAUCGUGGCAGCAUCACCAAGAGACAACUUUACGUUUAAGUGCCACCGCUCAAACGGCACCUCCAACGGCUUCCAGGACAUAUACGCGGUGAACGACAUAAAGUUCCACCCAGUCCAUGGAACACUGUCGACAGUUGGUUCUGAUGGCAGGUUCAGUUUCUGGGAUAAGGAUGCUCGUACAAAGCUUAAGAAUUCAGAAGCAAUGGAGCAGCCCAUCUCAUGCUGUGCUUUCAACCAUAACGGCCAGAUAUUUGCUUACGCUGUAUCCUAUGACUGGUCUAAGGGUCAUGAAUACUUUAAUCCACAAAAGAAAAACUACAUAUUCCUGAGAUCUUGCUACGAUGAACUGAAGCCUCGGAGCCGCUAACCUACACUGGGGAAGGUCACCAGUGCUGUCUUUCUGAGUCAUGCCACACUGCACUGAGUCCAUCAGAGGGCUGGUAUUCAUCUCCAAGAGAAGCCACCUAGAAAUAAAGGACACAUUAAAUAAGUCAGUGUUAGUAAUUAAUAUUGAAUGGUUACCUGCCUUACCAUCCCUAGGGUUCACAAGUAUUCUUGUAGGACCUUUUCCUAUCCUUUGUACGAGACAGGAUCCAUUAACAUGCUCAAGCCGGGCUUUGAGGGCAUCCCUUUUGCCUCCCUUAAGGUGCUACCACACAGACAUUUUCUGGUGUCUUGUUGGCAUCUAGCCACCGGUGGCAAGGAGUGCUCUUCCUAUCACACGCGCAAGAGAUGUUUUCGGCCUCAGCACAGAGCAAAACAAGCUGGAUGCUAAACAUAUGUCGAGUAUGUAUAUCUAUAUCUAUAUCGAGAGAGAGAGAGAAUGCUAAUUUCUUCAAAACUUCUCUAUGUAUUUCUCUCCAAAUAGUUUUCAUCCCUGGUGUCCCACAGACACUUGUUUUCCCGAUAGAGCUCACACAGGGUGUUAAGAGCAUCCUUGGAAAACUAGAUAAACAAAAAGUAAUUACAGUAAAUAGAGGCCUGAGAAGAAGAUAUGUUCUAAGUAAAAACUUAUGAAUACAAAGGUGCGUUCAGAUUUUAGUGAUAUAAGAGGAGACGAGGAAGGAUUUGUAAAUAGUAGUAUAAAUAGUAAAUGUUAUUUUCUGAAUUUUGCUCACUAUAUUUACUUCGGAUAAGCUAAAAAUUGUUGCUCAAUCCAAUAAUGUCAACAGAUUUUGCCCUUCUUGUGUUACAAAUGAACUAAGUAAAGAAAUUGAAUAUUUUAGGAACCUAAGCGAAUGUGUUGAGCAAUAGAGACGUCAGACACACACACACCCGCCCGCCAACAUCCAAUUAGCAGCAUACUCAGCUGUGGAACCAGCUUCCGUUAGGAGGGAUUCAAUGGAAGUAAAGGGACAAUAUCUGUGAACAAGGACACAGAACCUGAGGGGAUUGAGUUCCCCGGGCACUCGCUUCAAUGAAGGAUAAGCAUAUGAGCCACCAGGGGUAACAAAGCUUGUGAAGAAGGUAAAAUACUAGUGGCCUUAUUUGGUUUUGCUAUCAUGAAUUGUUCCUUGCAGUGCACUCACAAAAUACUGAUCAUCAGCAAGUAUACUCUGUAAUGGAGUGGCAACACUAAAUGUAAUACACAACAUGAAAACAGAAAU
This is an RNA transcript of Eriocheir sinensis (Chinese mitten crab), 2506 nucleotides long. It is a transcript of the gene named protein Rae1-like, with no coding region annotated. Lineage: Eukaryota; Metazoa; Arthropoda; Malacostraca; Decapoda; Varunidae. The record is from RefSeq and is a predicted model, not a curated record. The transcript has 10 exons.